Caenorhabditis elegans is the source of this 138-nucleotide non-coding RNA. The record is from Ensembl. NCBI's taxonomy places the organism in Eukaryota, Metazoa, Nematoda, Chromadorea, Rhabditida, Rhabditidae.
UCCGUCGUUUUCCGCCGACGCACCGCCUUUCUACCGCCUCCCUCCGUUUUUUGCUCGCAUCGCCUUGCGGAGAUUUUCCGGGGCACGGGAGGAUGAAAAGUUACGUGUGAAGUGUCAAAUUCAGGUUUUUUGACAGUU